UUAUCAUUUAGAGGAAGGAGAAGUCGUAACAAGGUUUCCGUAGGUGAACCUGCGGAAGGAUCAUUGUCGAAACCUGCCCAGCAGAACGACCCGCGAACACGUUUAAACACCCGCGGGGAGGCGAGGGGCAUCCCUGCCACGGACCUCCCUUCAUCCGCCGGGAGCCAUCCCGGCGGGACUAACGAACCCCGGCGCUAUCUGCGCCAAGGAAAAGAAACGAAUGAGCGCGCUCGUGCGGGGACCCGGAGACGGUGCACCCCGCUCGAGUUGCGUGUUCUUCGAUAUGUCAAAACGACUCUCGGCAACGGAUAUCUCGGCUCUCGCAUCGAUGAAGAACGUAGCGAAAUGCGAUACUUGGUGUGAAUUGCAGAAUCCCGUGAACCAUCGAGUCUUUGAACGCAAGUUGCGCCCGAAGCCAUUAGGCCGAGGGCACGUCUGCCUGGGCGUCACACAACGUUGCCCCCCCAACCCCCGCGGUUGAGGGGGCGGAAAAUGGCCUCCCGUGAGCGACUCGCCUCGCGGUUGGCCCAAAAACGAGUCCUCGGCUGCGAUCGCCGCGGCAUUCGGUGGUUGUCGAAAAAUCGGUGCCCCGCCGCGCGCGCUUCGGCAGUUCACGAGCCUCUCAGUACGACCCCAGUGCGCCGCUGAACGCGGUGCCUCCAACGCGACCCCAGGUCAGGCGGGGCUACCCGCUGAGUUUAAGCAUAUCAAUAA
Molecule: unclassified non-coding RNA, 714 nt
Filed under: Trema cannabina
Lineage: Eukaryota; Viridiplantae; Streptophyta; Magnoliopsida; Rosales; Cannabaceae
Description: Trema cannabinum partial contains small subunit ribosomal RNA, internal transcribed spacer 1, 5.8S ribosomal RNA, internal transcribed spacer 2, and large subunit ribosomal RNA
Rfam family: 5.8S ribosomal RNA (bases 294-449)
Source: RNAcentral